CCUACGGGAGGCAGCAGUGGGGAAUAUUGCACAAUGGGGGAAACCCUGAUGCAGCGACGCCGCGUGAGUGAAGAAGUAUUUCGGUAUGUAAAGCACUAUCAGCAGGGAAGAAAAUGACGGUAUCUGUUUAAGAAGCCCCGGCUAACUACGUGCCAGCAGCCGCGGUAAUACGUAGGGGGCAAGCGUUAUCCGGAUCUACUGGGUGUAAAGGGAGUGUAGACGGCAGCACAAGUCUGGAGUGAAAUGCCGGGGCUUAACCCCGGAACUGCUUUGGAAACUGUGCGGCUAGAGUGCAGGAGAGGUAGGUAGAAUUCCUGGUGUAGCGGUGAAAUGCGUAGAUAUUAGGAGGAACACCAGUGGCGAAGGCGGCUUACUGGACUGUAACUGACGUUGAGGCUCGAAAGCGUGGGGAGCAAACAGGAUUAGAUACCCUAGUAGUC
This 440-nucleotide ribosomal RNA is filed under the name uncultured bacterium. Its description in RNAcentral is "partial 16S ribosomal RNA". It matches the Rfam family "Bacterial small subunit ribosomal RNA", at positions 338 to 795 of the family's 1533-position model. The record is from RNAcentral.